RNAcentral lists this long non-coding RNA (1622 nucleotides) under Dromaius novaehollandiae (emu). Its description in RNAcentral is "lncRNA (ENSDNVG00000005363.1)". Lineage: Eukaryota; Metazoa; Chordata; Aves; Casuariiformes; Dromaiidae. The record is from RNAcentral.
UUUCUCUGAUUAGGGACAACUCCUUCAAAAUGGGAAGAGAAGGUCCCCGACAUAAUCCCAGUGGAUAAAACUGGUGAAGAUGUGGACAAUAAGAAAACAGAUGGAAAUCGUAACAACACACAGAAGACCUACAUUAUAGCACUGUCUGUGGCAGUCACUGGUUUUAUACUAGCCAUGAUAGGCAUCCUUGCUUUGCACUGGAGAAUCAGAAAACGAGAACCACUCCUACCUGCCACAGACCCGUGUAUAAAACAUCAUACCAAACUUCAGCCAAAUCAAGAAGGCAUUAGGAAAAACAAGGCAAAAAGAUGGGGCUGCCAUAGAUGCAGAGAACAUCAUCCACAGUCCUGUCACAGGGAAAGUUCAAGGACUAUUUCUGAGUGACAGUCUGUGUGCCCAUCUGUGCGCCUUGCCGGUCAGCUGUUGCAGCUGGAGCAGUACUCCCUUGCACCACUCCCCCCUCGGCCGCCACGCGUGCUGUGCCCAAGCUCUGAUUUCCUGCCUGCCUCGGAAGUGCAGGCAUACCUCGGAGAUACGGCUGGUGCGGUUCCAGACCACCACAAUGAAGUGAGCAUCGGAACAAAGCGAGAAACACAAUUUUUUUUUUUAGUUUCCCAGUGCAUAUAAAGGUUAUGUUUACACCAUACUGUAGUCUGUUGUGUGCAAUAGUAUUUUGUCUAAAAGAACAAUGUACAUACCUUAAUCAAAAAUACUUUAUUGCUAAAAAAUGCUAACUAUCAAUCAUCUGAGCCUUCAGCGAGUUGCAGUCUUUUUGCUGAUGGAGAGUCUUGCCUCAAUGUUGAUGGCUGCUGACUGAUCAGGGUGGUGGUUGCUGAAGACUGGGGUGGCUGUGGCAAUUUCUUAAACUAAGACAACAAUGAAGUUUGCUGCAUCGAUUGACUCUUCCUUUCACGAGCGAUUUUUCUGUGGCAUGUGAUGCUGUUUGAUAGCAUUUUACCUGCAAUAGAACUUCUUUCAAAAUUGGAGUCAGUCCUCUCAAACCCUGCCGCUGCCUUAUCAACUAAGUUUAUGCAAUAUUCUAAAUCCUUUGUUGUCAUUUCAACAGUGUUCACAGCAUCUUCACCAGGAGUAGAUUCCAUCUCAAGAAACCACUUUCUUUGCUCAUCCAUAAGUUAAAGUUUUAUCAUGAGAUUGCAGCAAUUCAGUCACAUCUUCGGGCUCCCCUUCGAACUCGUUCUCUUGUUGUUUCCACCACAUCUGCAGUUACUUUGUCCGCUGAAGUCUUGAACCCCUCGAAGUCAUCCAUGAGGGUUGGAAUCAACUUCUUCCAAAUUCCUAUUGAAGUUGAUAUUUUGGCCUCCUCCCAUGAGGCACGAAUAUUCUUAAUGGCAUCUAGAAUGGUGAAUCCUUUCCAGAAGGUUUCAAUUUACUUUGCCCAGAUGCAUCAGAGGAAUCACUAUCUAUGGCAGCUAUAGACUUACAAAACGUUAAUAAGACUUGAAAGUCGAAAUUACUCUUUGAUCAAUAGGCUGCAGAAUGGAUGUUGUGUUAGCAGGCAUGAAAACAACAUUAAUCUCAUUGUACAUCUCCAUCAGAUCUCUUGGGUGAACUAUCUAUUCCACAAGUACAAGUUUAGAAAAAUAAAACAUAAUUCCCUCUCA